CAUCUUUCAAAGGACAGCGGAUGGGUGAUGCUCUUGAAGGAUCCAUGGUGGCCAGGCAGAAAGAGGCAGGGGUCUGUGCAUCUGGGGGCCCCCCGGGGGCCCUGCAGGCUUCCCCCAGGCAGGAGCUGAGGGAGGCAGGUGUGUCUGUGGGGGGCGGGUGGGAGCAGCCAGUCAGGAGCUCAGGAUGGCCAAAGCCCCAGCUUCCCGCUACCCCUCCUGCCUUCCCCACUCUGGGAAGGGAAAUUACAUUUCCCCAUUUUAGCAAGAAGGAAGACUGAUUGAAUGCAAAGCUGAAAGUACAAGUAGGAAGGAAAGUGAAACCGGUGCAGCCCCCAGUAUAAGACUCCCCUACCAGGAGAUGGCUGCGCAAAGAGGCCGGGCCCUGACAUGGGCUUCACAGAAGGCGACCUUGGUUGGCGGCUUAGCCUGCUGCCGCUCUCCAUGCUCCUGGUGCAAGCCGGUGUCUGGGGAUUCCCAAGGCCACCAGGGAGGCCAACACUGCGGGAGAGGGAGCUGCGCGCGGAAUUCGCUGUCAGCCUGCAACUCGCCAGGAAGCUGCUCACGGGGGUUCAGGGCCAGGCCCACCGCUUUGUGGAAUCACACCUGUCCGGAGUGAGCCUGGACCUCCUGCCCCAGCCACAGCAGCUCCCCAAUGCGUCCCUGACCUUCCAGGCCUGGCGCCACCUCCGCGACCCAGAGCGACUCUGCUUCCUCUCCGUAACGCUUCGGCCCUUCCGCGCCCCGCUGAGGAGGCUGGGGAGCCAAAGGCUCUGGAACAGCUCGGAGAGGAUGCAGCUGCAGGUGAUGAGGCUGGAUCUGCGGGAUCUGCAGCGCCAUCUCCGCUUCCAGG
RNAcentral lists this long non-coding RNA (850 nucleotides) under Fukomys damarensis (Damara mole-rat). RNAcentral's name for it is "lncRNA (ENSFDAG00000027053.1)". The record is from RNAcentral. Lineage: Eukaryota; Metazoa; Chordata; Mammalia; Rodentia; Bathyergidae.